Molecule: transfer RNA, 70 nt
Filed under: Dipodomys ordii (Ord's kangaroo rat)
Lineage: Eukaryota; Metazoa; Chordata; Mammalia; Rodentia; Heteromyidae
Rfam family: tRNA
About the family: Transfer RNA (tRNA) molecules are approximately 80 nucleotides in length. Their secondary structure includes four short double-helical elements and three loops (D, anti-codon, and T loops).
Source: Rfam by way of RNAcentral
GGAAAUGUGACUCAGUGGUACAGUGCUUGCCUUGCAUGCAUGAGGCCCUGGGUUCGAUUCCUCAGCACCA